AUUGAACGCUGGCGGCAGGCCUAACACAUGCAAGUCGAACGGUAACAGGAAACAGCUUGCUGUUUCGCUGACGAGUGGCGGACGGGUGAGUAAUGUCUGGGAAACUGCCUGAUGGAGGGGGAUAACUACUGGAAACGGUAGCUAAUACCGCAUAACGUCGCAAGACCAAAGAGGGGGACCCUCGGGCCUCUUGCCAUCGGAUGUGCCCAGAUGGGAUUAGCUUGUUGGUGGGGUAACGGCUCACCAAGGCGACGAUCCCUAGCUGGUCUGAGAGGAUGACCAGCCACACUGGAACCGAGACACGGUCCAGACUCCUACGGGAGGCAGCAGUGGGGAAUAUUGCACAAUGGGCGCAAGCCUGAUGCAGCCAUGCCGCGUGUAUGAAGAAGGCCUUCGGGUUGUAAAGUACGUUCAGCGGGGAGGAAGGGAGUAAAGUUAAUACCUUGGCUCAUUGACGUUACCCGCAGAAGAAGCACCGGCUAACUCCGUG
This 490-nucleotide ribosomal RNA is filed under the name uncultured bacterium. Its description in RNAcentral is "partial 16S ribosomal RNA". It matches the Rfam family "Bacterial small subunit ribosomal RNA", at positions 30 to 507 of the family's 1533-position model. The record is from RNAcentral.